RNAcentral lists this ribosomal RNA (459 nucleotides) under uncultured bacterium. Its description in RNAcentral is "partial 16S ribosomal RNA". It matches the Rfam family "Bacterial small subunit ribosomal RNA", at positions 338 to 795 of the family's 1533-position model. The record is from RNAcentral.
CCUACGGGAGGCAGCAGUGAGGAAUAUUGGUCAAUGGGCGGGAGCCUGAACCAGCCAAGUAGCGUGAAGGAAGAAGGUACUUAGUAUUGUAAACUUCUUUUGUCGGGGAACAAAGGCGGAGACGCGUCUCCGGAUGAGUGUACCCGAAGAAAAAGCAUCGGCUAACUCCGUGCCAGCAGCCGCGGUAAUACGGAGGAUGCGAGCGUUAUCCGGAUUUAUUGGGUUUAAAGGGAGUGCAGGCGGGAGAUCAAGUCAGCGGUAAAAUGUCGGGGCUCAACCCCGGCCGGCCGUUGAAACUGGUUGUCUAGAGUUGGAUAGAGGUAUGCGGAAUUCGUGGUGUAGCGGUGAAAUGCAUAGAUAUCACGAAGAACUCCGAUUGCGAAGGCAGCAUACCGGCUCCAUACUGACGCUGAGGCACGAAAGCGUGGGGAUCGAACAGGAUUAGAUACCCCUGUAGUC